AGUGAACGCUGGCGGUAUGCCUAACACAUGCAAGUCGAACGGCAACACAGUAAGCUCUUGCUCUUACGGGUGGCGAGUGGCGGACGGGUGAGGAAUACAUCGGAAUCUACUUUUUCGUGGGGGAUAUCGUAGGGCCACUUACGCUAAUACCGCAUAUGACCUACGGGUGAAAUCAGUAGAUCAUCGGACCUUGCGCGUUUCAAUGAGCCGAUGUCGGAUUAGCUAGUUGGCGAGGUAAAGGCCCACCAAGGCGACGAUCCGUAGCUGAUCUGAGAGGAUGAUCAGCCACACUGGAACUGAGACACGGUCCAGACUCCUACGGGAGGCAGCAGUGGGGAAUCUUGGGCAAUGGGCGAAAGCCUGAUGGAGCAAUACCGCGUGGGUGAAGAAGGCCUUCGGGUCGUAAAGCCCUUUUAUUGGGAAAGAAAAGCAGCGGAUUAAUACCUCGCUGUUCUGACGGUACCCAAAGAAAAAGCACCGGCUAACUUCGUG
RNAcentral lists this ribosomal RNA (492 nucleotides) under uncultured bacterium. RNAcentral's name for it is "partial 16S ribosomal RNA". It matches the Rfam family "Bacterial small subunit ribosomal RNA", at positions 29 to 507 of the family's 1533-position model. The record is from RNAcentral.